CAAUAGCGUAUAUUAAAGUUGUUGCAGUUAAAAAGCUCGUAGUUGGAUUUGUGGCGUACGGUGGGCUCCGGGCACUUGUUGUCUGAGUAACUUGCUGUUGCCAUCCUUGGGUGGAACCUGUGUGGCAUUAGGUUGUCGUGCAGGGGAUGCCCAUCAUUUACUGUGAAAAAAUUAGAGUGUUCAAAGCAGGCUUAUGCCGUUGAAUAUAUUAGCAUGGAAUAAUGAGAUAGGACUUUUUUGCUAUUUUGUUGGUUUGCGCAAAGAGGUAAUGAUUAAUAGGGACAGUUGGGGGUAUUCGUAUUCCAUUGUCAGAGGUGAAAUUCUUGGAUUUUUGGAAGACGAACUACUGCGAAAGCAUUUACCAAGGAUGUUUUCAUUAA
Molecule: ribosomal RNA, 380 nt
Filed under: uncultured eukaryote
Lineage: Eukaryota
Description: partial 18S ribosomal RNA
Rfam family: Eukaryotic small subunit ribosomal RNA
Source: RNAcentral